AUGUUACUCCCUCCGUCCCAAAAUCUUGUCUUAGAUUUGUCUAAAUACGGAUAUAUCUAGUUACGUUUUAGUGUUAGAUACAUCCAUAUCUAGAUAAAUUUAAGAUAGGAAUUUUGUGACGGAGGGAGUACAAA
Triticum aestivum (bread wheat) is the source of this 134-nucleotide non-coding RNA. NCBI's taxonomy places the organism in Eukaryota, Viridiplantae, Streptophyta, Magnoliopsida, Poales, Poaceae. The record is from Rfam.